CAAUAGCGUAUACUAAAGUUGUUGCAGUUAAAAAGCUCGUAGUUGAAUUUCUGGUCGUGGCGAUCGGUCCGCCCCUCACGGGGUGUGCACCUGGUCUCUACGUCCAUCCUCGGGGAGAGCGCGUCUGGCAUUCAGUUGUCGGGUGCGGGAUCCUCGUCAUUUACUGUGAGCAAAAUAGAGUGUUCAAAGCAGGCUUAGGCCGUUGAAUACAUUAGCAUGGAAUAAUAAGAUAGGACCUUGGUCUAUUUUGUUGGUUUGCAUUCCAAGGUAAUGAUUAAUAGGGACAAUUGGGGGCGAUUCGUAUUGACGAGUCAGAGGUGAAAUUCUUGGAUUUCGUUCACGACGAACUACUGCGAAAGCAUUUGUCCAAGGAUGUUUUCUAUUGAUCAAGAACGAAAGUAAAGGGGAGUCGAAGAUGAUCAGAUACCAU
RNAcentral lists this ribosomal RNA (430 nucleotides) under uncultured eukaryote. RNAcentral describes it as "bacterial SSU rRNA". It matches the Rfam family "Eukaryotic small subunit ribosomal RNA", at positions 592 to 1018 of the family's 1831-position model. The record is from RNAcentral.